GGGGUUUUAGCUCAGUGGCAUAAGCACCUGCCUUGCAAGCAGGCAGUGAUGAGUUCAAUACCCA
RNAcentral lists this transfer RNA (64 nucleotides) under Cavia porcellus (domestic guinea pig). It matches the Rfam family "tRNA", at positions 1 to 62 of the family's 71-position model. From Rfam's summary of the family: Transfer RNA (tRNA) molecules are approximately 80 nucleotides in length. Their secondary structure includes four short double-helical elements and three loops (D, anti-codon, and T loops). The record is from Rfam by way of RNAcentral. Lineage: Eukaryota; Metazoa; Chordata; Mammalia; Rodentia; Caviidae.